RNAcentral lists this ribosomal RNA (687 nucleotides) under Pseudochromadora thinaica. Its description in RNAcentral is "Pseudochromadora sp. t AAS-2021 partial large subunit ribosomal RNA". It matches the Rfam family "Eukaryotic large subunit ribosomal RNA", at positions 393 to 915 of the family's 3401-position model. The record is from RNAcentral. Lineage: Eukaryota; Metazoa; Nematoda; Chromadorea; Desmodorida; Desmodoridae.
GAGGGCGUGAAACUGUUUAGAAGCAAACAGAUGGAGCUGAUGGUUAUUCAGUGACAUACAGCUGGCCUGGUCAUGGGCAUCUGGUUGUUGAAUGAUUCUUUCAAUUUACCAGUUUUUUUAUGAUCAGCUGGUGCAUUUGUCAUUGAUGUGCACUAGAACUCAUGCAAAUGCUGGAUGGAUGGCAGAAGUAGAUGGCCAUUUUGUUGGUAACAUGCUCCUGUCUGAAGCCAAGUUUUUUGUAUGAGAUACUAUGAGCAUCCGCCUACUUGACAGUGAAGAAAGCAUUUGCAGUUGAACUGUGGUUUUGUGCUUGCACAACUCCAUGAAUCCUACAAUUGUGGACUUUGCUGGCUGAGCUGAUGUUUUUUUCUGGUGUUUUUGUCAGUAACCCAUCUGACCCGUCUUGAAACACGGACCAAGGAGUCUAACAUGUGCGCAAGUCACUGGAUUGCAAAAUCUAUUGGCGCAAUGAAAGUAAAGCCCAGUAUGUCUGGGUUACAUGGGACCUUUCACAUUGUGGAAGAGCACCAUGGUCCUGUCCAUACUGCAUUGCCAGUGGGGCAGAGAUAGAGCGUAUUUGUUGGGACCCGAAAGAUGGUGAACUAUGCCUGAGCAGGAUGAAGUCAGAGGAAACUCUGAUGGAGGUUCAUAGCGAUUCUGACGUGCAAAUCGAUCGUCGGACUUGGG